RNAcentral lists this ribosomal RNA (478 nucleotides) under uncultured bacterium. RNAcentral's name for it is "partial 16S ribosomal RNA". It matches the Rfam family "Bacterial small subunit ribosomal RNA", at positions 28 to 523 of the family's 1533-position model. The record is from RNAcentral.
GACGAACGCUGGCGGCGUGCUUAACACAUGCAAGUCGAACGGUAAGGCCCUUCGGGGUACACGAGUGGCGAACGGGUGAGUAACACGUGGGUGAUCUGCCCUGCACUUCGGGAUAAGCCUGGGAAACUGGGUCUAAUACCGGAUAGGACUCCUGGCUUCAUGGUUGGGGGUGGAAAGCUUUUGCGGGGUGGGAUGGGCCCGCGGCCUAUCAGCUUGUUGGUGGGGUACUGGCCUACCAAGGCGACGACGGGUAGCCGGCCUGAGAGGGUGACCGGUCACACUGGGACUGGGGUACGGCCCAGACUCCUACGGGAGGAAGCAGUGGGGAAUAUUGCACAAUGGGCGCAAGCCUGAUGCAGCGACGCCGCGUGAGGGAUGACGGCCUUCGGGUUGUAAACCUCUUUCAGCUAUGACGAAGCGCAAGUGACGGUAGUAGCAGAAGAAGGACCGGCCAACUACGUGCCAGCAGCCGCGGUAA